Molecule: ribosomal RNA, 1661 nt
Filed under: Massilia agilis
Lineage: Bacteria; Pseudomonadati; Pseudomonadota; Betaproteobacteria; Burkholderiales; Oxalobacteraceae
Description: partial 23S ribosomal RNA
Rfam family: Bacterial large subunit ribosomal RNA
Source: RNAcentral
GGAUGCUGGAGGUAUCAGAAGUGCGAAUGCUGACAUGAGUAGCGAUAAUGGGGGUGAAAAGCCUCCACGCCGUAAGCCCAAGGUUUCCUGUUCAACGUUCAUCGGAGCAGGGUGAGUCGGCCCCUAAGGCGAGGCAGAGAUGCGUAGCUGAUGGGAAGCAGGUUAAUAUUCCUGCACCGUCGUAUGAUGCGAUGGGGGGACGGAUCGCGGAAGGUUGUCUAGCUGUUGGAAUAGCUAGUUCCUGGUUCAUAGAAGGCGCUUAGGCAAAUCCGGGCGCGUAAUUCAAGGGAUCGGGACGAGUGGCCUUGUGCCGCGAAGCAAUCGGAAGUGGUUCCAAGAAAAGCCUCUAAGCUUCAGUCAUACGAGACCGUACCGCAAACCGACACAGGUGGGCGAGAUGAGUAUUCUAAGGCGCUUGAGAGAACUCGGGAGAAGGAACUCGGCAAAUUGGUACCGUAACUUCGGGAAAAGGUACGCCCCGGUAGCUUGACUGCUUUACUGCAGAAGGGUGAAAGGGUUGCAAUAAACUGGUGGCUGCGACUGUUUAAUAAAAACACAGCACUCUGCAAACACGAAAGUGGACGUAUAGGGUGUGACGCCUGCCCGGUGCUGGAAGAUUAAAUGAUGGGGUGCAAGCUCUUGAUUGAAGUCCCAGUAAACGGCGGCCGUAACUAUAACGGUCCUAAGGUAGCGAAAUUCCUUGUCGGGUAAGUUCCGACCUGCACGAAUGGCGUAACGAUGGCCACACUGUCUCCUCCCGAGACUCAGCGAAGUUGAAAUGUUUGUGAUGAUGCAAUCUACCCGCGGCUAGACGGAAAGACCCCAUGAACCUUUACUGUAGCUUUGCAUUGGACUUUGAACCAAUCUGUGUAGGAUAGGUGGGAGGCUUUGAAGCGGGGACGCCAGUUCUCGUGGAGCCAUCCUUGAAAUACCACCCUGGUUCGUUUGAGGUUCUAACCUUGGCCCGUAAUCCGGGUCGGGGACAGUGCAUGGUAGGCAGUUUGACUGGGGCGGUCUCCUCCUAAACGGUAACGGAGGAGUUCGAAGGUACGCUAGGUACGGUCGGACAUCGUGCUAAUAGUGCAAUGGCAUAAGCGUGCUUAACUGCGAGACCGACAAGUCGAGCAGGUACGAAAGUAGGACAUAGUGAUCCGGUGGUUCUGUAUGGAAGGGCCAUCGCUCAACGGAUAAAAGGUACUCUGGGGAUAACAGGCUGAUUCCUCCCAAGAGUUCAUAUCGACGGGGGAGUUUGGCACCUCGAUGUCGGCUCAUCACAUCCUGGGGCUGUAGCCGGUCCCAAGGGUAUGGCUGUUCGCCAUUUAAAGUGGUACGUGAGCUGGGUUUAAAACGUCGUGAGACAGUUUGGUCCCUAUCUGCCGUGGGCGUUGGAAAUUUGAAGGGGGCUGCUCCUAGUACGAGAGGACCGGAGUGGACGAACCUCUGGUGUACCGGUUGUCACGCCAGUGGCAUUGCCGGGUAGCUAAGUUCGGAAGAGAUAACCGCUGAAAGCAUCUAAGCGGGAAACUCGCCUUGAGAUGAGAUUUCCCGGAGCCUUGAGCUCCUUGAAGGGUCGUUCGAGACCAGGACGUUGAUAGGUCGGGUGUGGAAGUGCAGUAAUGCAUUAAGCUAACCGAUACUAAUUGCCCGUACGGCUUGUCCCU